This is a long non-coding RNA of Megalops cyprinoides (Indo-Pacific tarpon), 1019 nucleotides long. RefSeq lists it as uncharacterized. The transcript has 4 exons. NCBI's taxonomy places the organism in Eukaryota, Metazoa, Chordata, Actinopteri, Elopiformes, Megalopidae. The record is from RefSeq and is a predicted model, not a curated record.
CCAGUGCAAAAGGGGAAAGCCACGGUCCAACUGCUGUGAAUGAGUGCAGACCGACGAAAACAGCGUUGCGAGUGAACUGGAGAAAAAAGACAUACCAGAAGAGUUAUGCUGAUUGCACGGUUACUUGUAUCACUGGUUAUUUACGGUGGAAGUCUGUGCAUUAUGAAUUACACAGGCCAAUUCCCCUUGUUAGCUCAUUAAGCUUGCUCUCCAGACUUACUGCUAUUUCUGCUAAAGGUCUACGCAAAAGAUGCCUCUAAUCUUCAACAAGCAACGCAGCCGAGUUCAAUGGGGAAAUUGCCAGUAUUGGCCAUCCACUACUCCUUGGAGCUCAUAAGAGGGCCACACUUGUGAUUUACGGAGUCCCUGCGUCCAUCAGAGGGAGGCAGUCGAGCGAGACGGACGCCAUCCACGCAGGCCGGUCACCUCAGGAAUGUAGUGGGUCCAUUCGAGUCUCCCAGGUUUCCUCCACACAAGGAGAGAGGAUGGGAAUGCUGCAGAACCCCGGAUAGCCUCUCCUCGACCCCCGCCUCCCCACCCCACACCCCCUUGGGUGAGAUCAUGGGGGGUAUGAACCAUGUCAUUUCCUGGGUGAGAACUACUGACAUGCAGGAUGGUGCUCCCUGAAAUCGUAGCCCCCACAGGCAGAGACAGAGAGAGACAGAAAGUACAGGAGGAACAGAGUGGCUUCAGAGUGGACUGAACAAAAGGUAAUACCAACAAAGGUUCGUGAUUCAGACUGCAUAACAUUAUGGCGCUCAAGAUUUGGGGGCUGAGCCAUAAUUUCAAAUCAUUUUGAAUUAACUGAGUAGGUUUGCAACUUCUAGCAUUUUUAGGAUGAAACAUAUAGAUUUGAAAAAUGCAGGAUUGAUUCCCCUAAGUUUAAUAACUGGUGGCAGUAGUGUACUGUACUUCCAAACCAGUCUUGUUAAUGUGUCCAUAGCUGGUUUUGUAAAGACGAUUUGUUCUUUUGUGCAGUGUUCCUUGACAGUAUGUGCCAUGUUACAUUGAAAAAUAAA